RNAcentral lists this ribosomal RNA (459 nucleotides) under uncultured bacterium. RNAcentral describes it as "partial 16S ribosomal RNA". It matches the Rfam family "Bacterial small subunit ribosomal RNA", at positions 338 to 795 of the family's 1533-position model. The record is from RNAcentral.
CCUACGGGAGGCAGCAGUGAGGAAUAUUGGUCAAUGGGCGGGAGCCUGAACCAGCCAAGCCGCGUGAGGGAAGAAGGUACAGCGUAUCGUAAACCUCUUUUGUCAGGGAACAAAGGCGGGGACUAGUCCCCGGAUGAGGGUACCUGAAGAAAAAGCAUCGGCUAACUCCGUGCCAGCAGCCGCGGUAAUACGGAGGAUGCGAGCGUUAUCCGGAUUUAUUGGGUUUAAAGGGUGCGCAGGCGGCCUGUUAAGUCAGCGGUAAAAGCCCGGGGCCCAACCCCGGCGAGCCGUUGAAACUGGCGGGCUGGAGUUGGAGAGAGGGACGCGGAAUGCGCGGGGGAGCGGGGAAAUGCUUAGAGAGCGGGCGGAACCCCGAUUGGGAAGGCAGCGUACCGGCUCCACACGGACGCUGAGGGACGAAAGCGGGGGUAUCGAACAGGAUUAGAGACCCUGGUAGUC